This 323-nucleotide long non-coding RNA is filed under the name Pan troglodytes (chimpanzee). RNAcentral's name for it is "lincRNA". The record is from RNAcentral. Lineage: Eukaryota; Metazoa; Chordata; Mammalia; Primates; Hominidae.
UGCUCUCCUGCACUUCCGCCCAGUCACAUGGAUGAUGGAUAGCGUUGGGAGCUGUUUUCUCUAUCUUCCAGGCUGGAAUGCAGUGGCGUGAUCUCAGCUCACUGCAACCUCUGCCUAUCCAUAUGUUUCUGUCGGGCUGACUCAUUCCACUUUUGAAGCACCCAGUGGAUUAGUUAGUCUUAUUAUUGCAUUUACUGUCACCUACACACUUGUUUGUGGGAAGGCACUCCUCUUGGCAUUUGCUUAGUUGGAAAAGGGAACACUAAGACUAUAGCCACUGGAUAAUGCUCUUGAAGUUCACGGCACUGUGGCAGCAUAAAGCU